UCCGUUCUCGUCCAGUGGUUUGGAUAUCUGGCUUUCACCCAGGAGACCUGCGUUCGAUUCCCGGCAACGGAU
RNAcentral lists this transfer RNA (72 nucleotides) under Salvia splendens (bonfire salvia). It matches the Rfam family "tRNA". Rfam says of the family: Transfer RNA (tRNA) molecules are approximately 80 nucleotides in length. Their secondary structure includes four short double-helical elements and three loops (D, anti-codon, and T loops). Lineage: Eukaryota; Viridiplantae; Streptophyta; Magnoliopsida; Lamiales; Lamiaceae. The record is from Rfam by way of RNAcentral.